CUGGCUCAGGACGAACGCUGGCGGCGUGCCUAACACAUGCAAGUCGAGCGGAGUCAGCAAGAGGAAGUUUUCGGAUGGAAUCUUGUUGAUUUAGCGGCGGACGGGUGAGUAACGCGUGAGCGACCAACCUUGCACAGGGGGAUAACGGACCGAAAGGUUCACUAAUACCGCAUGAGACCACGGUGUUGCAUGACACAGAGGUCAAAGGAGCAAUCCGGUGCAAGACGGGCUCGCGUCCGAUUAGGUAGUUGGAGGGGUAACGGCCCACCAAGCCUAUGAUCGGUAGCCGACCUGAGGGGGUGAUCGGCCACAUUGGAACUGAGAUACGGUCCAAACUCCUACGGGAGGCAGCAGUGGGGAAUAUUGGGCAAUGGGGGAAACCCUGACCCAGCAACGCCGCGUGAAGGAAGAAGGUUUUCGGAUUGUAAACUUCUGUCCUUGGUGAAGAGAAGAAGACGGUAGCCAAGGAGGAAGCCCCGGCUAACUACGUGCCAGCAGCCGCGGUAAUACGUAGGGGGCAAGCGUUGUCCGGAAUGAUUGGGCGUAAAGGGCGCGUAGGCGGCUUUGUAAGUCUGGAGUGAAGGUCCUCUUUUCAAGGGAGGAAUUGCUUUGGAAACUAUAGA
This 623-nucleotide ribosomal RNA is filed under the name anaerobic bacterium enrichment culture clone dylF26. RNAcentral's name for it is "bacterial SSU rRNA". It matches the Rfam family "Bacterial small subunit ribosomal RNA", at positions 19 to 639 of the family's 1533-position model. The record is from RNAcentral.